This 458-nucleotide unclassified non-coding RNA is filed under the name Hevea brasiliensis (rubber tree). Lineage: Eukaryota; Viridiplantae; Streptophyta; Magnoliopsida; Malpighiales; Euphorbiaceae. The record is from RNAcentral.
GGGUGGAUCAACACGUAUUCCUGCUGUUCAGGAACUCGUGAAGAAGAUGACUGGGAAGGAACCAAAUGUCACUGUCAAUCCUGAUGAAGUUGUUGCGCUAGGUGCUGCUGUUCAGGCUGGUGUUUUGGCUGGUGACGUCAGUGACAUUGUGCUAUUGGAUGUGAGUCCGUUAUCUUUGGGUCUUGAGACUCUUGGGGGUGUAAUGACAAAAAUUAUCCCCAGAAACACUACACUUCCUACCUCCAAGUCAGAGGUCUUCUCCACAGCCGCUGAUGGUCAAACAAGCGUGGAGAUUAAUGUUCUUCAAGGAGAACGAGAAUUUGUGAGGGACAACAAAUCACUCGGUAGCUUCCGAUUAGACGGUAUCCCCCCUGCACCACGUGGGGUGCCUCAGAUUGAAGUCAAAUUUGACAUAGAUGCCAAUGGAAUCCUCUCGGUUACUGCAAUCGACAAAGGCA